AGCGAACGCUGGCGGCAGGCCUAACACAUGCAAGUCGAACGAACCUUUCGGGGUUAGUGGCGGACGGGUGAGUAACACGUGGGAACGUGCCUUUAGGUUCGGAAUAACUCAGGGAAACUUGUGCUAAUACCGAAUGUGCCCUUCGGGGGAAAGAUUUAUCGCCUUUAGAGCGGCCCGCGUCUGAUUAGCUAGUUGGUUGAGGUAAUGGCUCACCAAGGCGACGAUCAGUAGCUGGUCUGAGAUGAUGAUCAGCCACAUUGGGACUGAGACACGGCCCAAACUCCUACGGGAGGCAGCAGUGGGGAAUCUUGCGCAAUGGGCGAAAGCCUGACGCAGCCAUGCCGCGUGAAUGAUGAAGGUCUUAGGAUUGUAAAAUUCUUUCACCGGGGACGAUAAUGACGGUACCCGGAGAAGAAGCCCCGGCUAACUUCGU
RNAcentral lists this ribosomal RNA (433 nucleotides) under uncultured bacterium. RNAcentral's name for it is "partial 16S ribosomal RNA". It matches the Rfam family "Bacterial small subunit ribosomal RNA", at positions 29 to 506 of the family's 1533-position model. The record is from RNAcentral.